CAAUGGGAAUGGUACAAACGGAGAAAUCUGUUGUCACAAAGCUAUAGGGGCUAAGGGGACAACCUAUGCCUGCCAGCUGCCAUU
RNAcentral lists this non-coding RNA (84 nucleotides) under Pontibacillus marinus. Its description in RNAcentral is "c-di-GMP sequence". It matches the Rfam family "c-di-GMP-I riboswitch aptamer". From Rfam's summary of the family: GEMM was predicted in a large-scale screen for bacterial structured RNA regulatory elements. Genes associated with GEMM are involved in a diverse array of functions, including chemotaxis regulation, signal transduction, secretion and chitin. RNAcentral also lists the same sequence under 1 other name. Lineage: Bacteria; Bacillati; Bacillota; Bacilli; Caryophanales; Bacillaceae. The record is from RNAcentral.